AUGUUUCUUGGAGGCUUCUGCUAUGUGCUCAUCUUCGGGACUGCAGUCUUACUGCCAAAUGUUCUCAGCCAUGAAAAACCGGCCUGGGCAACAAGUGGCUUAGAUUUCUCACCUAAAGAAAGAGAACAACUGUGGAAGAGGGAGCAAUCUGAUGUGUGUCUUCUUUUUGGUGUAGACAUUUCACGAAGGACCAUAGAGGCAUGGAUUAUUCGUAGUGCGCUGCUACUGGCCACAGCUCUUGGGAUUUCUAUUAUCUACAUUUCAUGGAAAUGCAUGAAAAAUGUUAAGCCCAGCCAGGCCACGACCAAGAUGCCAGAUGCUGCAGAAGGGAAAAAUGAACGGAUGAUGGAGCAGAUAGUGAAGAACACGANNNNNNNNNNNNNNNNNNNNNNNNNNNNNNNNNNNNNNNNNNNNNNNNNNNNNNNNNNNNNNNNNNNNNNNNNNNNNNNNNNNNNNNNNNNNNNNNNNNNUUCAGAGGGAUUACUAAAAACUCAAUUAACAACAGGAAGAAACAAUUUCUAUGAAACGGAGGGCGAGGAUUCAACCCCAAUGAAUCCCAAUUCCUGCUCAGAUUCUGGUCCAAAAGAAGGCAGAAGAGGAGGAAGGGGAAAGGCAGGAAGGAAGAAGGGGAGGGAGGAGGGAAGAAGAACAGGAAUGUGAGAGUGAGUGACAGGUAGAAAGGGUUGGGGGGGAAUGGGGGGGAGGUUGGGAGAGUUGGGGGGAGGGGAAAGGGAUAGACAGGUGUCAAGUUAAUUCAGAUGUUUUAAAUAAAAGUUGGCCCUGUUUCAAUCCACACUGUCUUUUAUUGCAGGGGUGGGAUGGCAAAGGUGACACAAUAUAAAUUAAAACAAUGCAAUUGUACUGUACUAAAGUAUUAAAAAUACAGUAUAUACUCGAGUAUACCCGAAUAUAAGCCCAAAAAAACUGGGAAAACAUUGACUCCAGUAUAAGCUGAGAUACCAGUAAAAUUACAUUAAUUAAGGCCUCAGUAGUUUAAAUGUUUUUGAAUCUUUACAUCAAACUGUAAUUUAAGAUAUGAGUGUCCAACUCAUAUCUUAAAGGCCAUCGAUGUGGGCGAAACAUCAGGAGGGAAUACUUCUGGAACAUGGCCAUACAGUCCGGAAAACAUACAACCCAGUUGCCUUUCACUUCCCUAUUGUCUCAGCUUUGUUCUUAAAUAUGUGCCAUUUGUAAGUCAAAUUUUUGCAACUCAGGGACUGCCUGUAUUCCAAGUGAGGUCUGACCAAAGCAGACUACACCAUGGCCAAUAUUCUCUGGUUUUAGGGCAGGGAGAGGAAUCUCAGAGUGAGAACAUUGCCAUUAAAGUUUUGUAUUUGUGUGUGUGUUCCUCAUUUAUUAAACUUGGUCUUUUUCUUGGCCAUACUCUGUGCAACAAUAGUUGAUGCUUAAGCUCUCAUGCCAGAUGGCAUCUGCAGGGGCUUUCGCUUGUGACAUCACCAAGGCCUAACUUCUAUGACCUCACACAAGGACUUAGGUUUUGGUCCCCUAAAUCUCAAAGCUUGAGAUAAUGUUCAUCUGGCAAUGCUACGAGCUGCUGAGAGCUAGCAAGGAUUUCCUCCCUUUCCUCUCAGUUGCUUCAUGAUUUUGAGAAAAUGCAAUGCACCAACACAAUUUUGGCCUAUAUUAAUUUAUUUAUUUUAUUUACAGUAUUUAUAUUCCAACCUUCUCACCCCAAAAGGGACUCAGGGCGGAUCACAAUGCACAUAUAUAUAUGGCAAACAUUCAAUGCCAUAUGAACAUAGAGACAGAGACAAAGACACAGAAGCAGUUUAACAUUUCGAAUCCAGCCACAAGGGAAGCUGCUGCUUCAUCAUCCACUGUGACACCAAGUCCUUGAUAGAUUACUUCCUCAUUCCAAACACUGCUGGACGAUUUUUACGGUGUUGUAAAUUAGUUAAAUUAGCCUCCCCACAUAAGUGGUACCUAAGUUUCCUACUUGAUAGAUGCAACUGUCUUUCAGGUUGCUUAGGUCAACAACGAGCAGGGCUAUUUUAAUGGUCAGGCAUUCAAUCCGACCUGGGCUGGCUUAGAAUUCAUGACUCAUAGUGAUUUAUUGCAGCUGCGCCACAGCCCGGCCCCUC
Molecule: long non-coding RNA, 2102 nt
Organism: Anolis carolinensis (green anole)
Lineage: Eukaryota; Metazoa; Chordata; Lepidosauria; Squamata; Anolidae
Source: Ensembl